GGCCGACGCAGUAAGCCCAGCAGUUACCCAUCGCAUUGUCGGGGGUUGAUUGUAUCGGCUCCCUCUCCCCCCGGCAUCUGCUGGAGCUCAAUAAAAAGGCGACAUCUUUCUACAACAACUUCCUCUUUCAUCAGCUGAUCGUCUCUCCAGGGAUGCUCUCCAGGCCCUCCAGCAGUGACAGCAUGCGACUCUCGAUGUCAGCCACCUUCUCAAAGGUGCUGAGGUUGGUCAUACGGUCGUCCACGCAGCUCCGGUGGACCUUUGCCACUUUCUCACCGAGAGCAUCCAACAUCGCAUCCUCCAAAAUAGACAAAAGUUUGGGGACACGUGGAGCUGAACCUUCUGCUGGAGCUUGGCGGCUCUCGCUCGCUCUCUUUCUCUUCUCUGCUUCACGUCAUCAAUCUGCACUUUGAUCUGCAGGUAAUCUUCAUCACUGCAAAAAGAGAUGAUUGCUUUGAAGUGAUGAAGAGGAAGUUCAGAUUCCAUUUACAGGUCUGGAAUUUGAAUGCAAACAUGAAGAAGGUGGAAUUGAAUGAACUAUAAGUAGCUGAGAUCUGAAAAGGUCAUACAAAGGGCUCACAUCUCUCUCCUCGUGGCCUCUAUUGCAUGUUGGAGCUCCUCCAGCUUCUCCUCCACCCUCGCAGAGUCCUGGAUUAGAGCGAGGUUCUGCUCGGUCAGCUCCGCCAUCAGGUCCAGCAGCUGCUGGGGGUCGGUGAAGUACAUUCCUGGAUCAUCCUAUGAAAUAGAAAAUGGACAAGCUCCACCACUGCAGGAACAGCAGCUAUGAUAUGAACAAAGAGGAGCUGACCUCAUAGUCAGAGCUGUCAUCAGUGCCUCUGAAAUUACAAAUAAAGACAAUUAUUCA
Oryzias melastigma (Indian medaka) is the source of this 865-nucleotide long non-coding RNA. RefSeq lists it as uncharacterized. The record is from RefSeq and is a predicted model, not a curated record. NCBI's taxonomy places the organism in Eukaryota, Metazoa, Chordata, Actinopteri, Beloniformes, Adrianichthyidae. The transcript has 3 exons.